RNAcentral lists this transfer RNA (71 nucleotides) under Pseudonocardiaceae bacterium. RNAcentral describes it as "tRNA-Gly". It matches the Rfam family "tRNA". Rfam says of the family: Transfer RNA (tRNA) molecules are approximately 80 nucleotides in length. Their secondary structure includes four short double-helical elements and three loops (D, anti-codon, and T loops). Lineage: Bacteria; Bacillati; Actinomycetota; Actinomycetes; Pseudonocardiales; Pseudonocardiaceae. The record is from RNAcentral. RNAcentral also lists the same sequence under 4 other names.
GCGGGCGUAGCUCAAUGGUAGAGCCCCAGCCUUCCAAGCUGGCCAUGCCGGUUCGAUCCCGGUCGCCCGCU